GCCUGGGUGGCUCAGUCGGUUAAGCGUCUGACUUCGGCUCAGGUCAUGAUCUCAUGGCUUGUGAGUUCGAGCCCCACAUCGGGCU
Molecule: transfer RNA, 85 nt
Filed under: Felis catus (domestic cat)
Lineage: Eukaryota; Metazoa; Chordata; Mammalia; Carnivora; Felidae
Rfam family: tRNA
About the family: Transfer RNA (tRNA) molecules are approximately 80 nucleotides in length. Their secondary structure includes four short double-helical elements and three loops (D, anti-codon, and T loops). Further hydrogen bonds mediate the characteristic L-shaped molecular structure. tRNAs have two regions of fundamental functional importance: the anti-codon, which is responsible for specific mRNA codon recognition, and the 3' end, to which the tRNAs corresponding amino acid is attached (by aminoacyl-tRNA synthetases). tRNAs cope with the degeneracy of the genetic code in two manners: having more than one tRNA (with a specific anti-codon) for a particular amino acid; and 'wobble' base-pairing, i.e. permitting non-standard base-pairing at the 3rd anti-codon position.
Source: Rfam by way of RNAcentral